Molecule: ribosomal RNA, 254 nt
Filed under: uncultured bacterium
Lineage: Bacteria
Description: partial 16S ribosomal RNA
Rfam family: Bacterial small subunit ribosomal RNA
Source: RNAcentral
UACGUAGGCAGCGAGCGUUGUUCGGAGUUACUGGGCGUAAAGGGUGUGUAGGCGGUUAUUUAAGUUUGGUGUGAAAUCUCCCGGCUCAACUGGGAGGGUGCGCCGAAUACUGAAUGACUUGGAGUGCGGGAGAGGUGAGUGGAAUUCCUGGUGUAGCGGUGAAAUGCGUAGAUAUCAGGAGGAACACCGGUGGUGUAGACGGCUCACUGGACCGUAACUGACGCUGAGACACGAAAGCGUGGGUAGCAAACAGG